This 462-nucleotide ribosomal RNA is filed under the name Vreelandella stevensii. RNAcentral describes it as "partial 16S ribosomal RNA". It matches the Rfam family "Bacterial small subunit ribosomal RNA", at positions 337 to 795 of the family's 1533-position model. Lineage: Bacteria; Pseudomonadati; Pseudomonadota; Gammaproteobacteria; Oceanospirillales; Halomonadaceae. The record is from RNAcentral.
CCCGGGGGCUGCAGUGGGGAAUAUUGGACAAUGGGCGAAAGCCUGAUCCAGCCAUGCCGCGUGUGUGAAGAAGGCCUUCGGGUUGUAAAGCACUUUCAGUGGGGAAGAAAGCCUUGGGGCUAAUACCCUCGAGGAAGGACAUCACCCACAGAAGAAGCACCGGCUAACUCCGUGCCAGCAGCCGCGGUAAUACGGAGGGUGCGAGCGUUAAUCGGAAUUACUGGGCGUAAAGCGCGCGUAGGCGGUCUGAUAAGCCGGUUGUGAAAGCCCCGGGCUCAACCUGGGAACGGCAUCCGGAACUGUCAGGCUAGAGUGCAGGAGAGGAAGGUAGAAUUCCCGGUGUAGCGGUGAAAUGCGUAGAGAUCGGGAGGAAUACCAGUGGCGAAGGCGGCCUUCUGGACUGACACUGACGCUGAGGUGCGAAAGCGUGGGUAGCAAACAGGAUUAGAUACCCCGGUAGUC